Long non-coding RNA from Pipistrellus kuhlii (Kuhl's pipistrelle), 1251 nucleotides. RefSeq lists it as uncharacterized. The transcript has 2 exons. Lineage: Eukaryota; Metazoa; Chordata; Mammalia; Chiroptera; Vespertilionidae. The record is from RefSeq and is a predicted model, not a curated record.
UUGGUCAUUCUUGAAAUCAACCAAAAACAUGUUGAUGAUUAUCCUCUAUUUCACUGAUAAGGAAAAGAUAAGUUUGAAGAGUUAAAAUUUUUUUUUAGCAAUAAUAGAGUAGGAGGAGAGGACAUUGGCUGUCACAUCUAUGCCCAACCACCCACAGUCUCUACCGUCCCAGGUUGCAGUGCGAAGUCCGGCUUUCCUGGCACACCGCGAUUGCCCCAGACCUCCCGUCUCAUUGGCUCUGUCUCCUGAUUUUCUCCUAUGAGAAUAUUUUUCCCCCCUUUAAGCUGUCUCUACUCAUUGUCUAACUCACAUGUGCCUCUGCCCCUUUAUGCUCCGUUUUCCCUCCCUUCUUUGUCUAAACUCUGUCUUUGUAUCCUUCAGCCUGGAUGCCUCCAUGCAACUCUCAGGGGCUGCUCCAGGCUUUGCCAGGUCUCUCAUCUGGAUCCCUCUCAACUGGCACUCUGCCUAGUGGGCCUCACCCUCCAAUAUCUCUCAUGAUUUCAUUAGCCUCUGCGGCCAUGCGGACAGCAGAAAGUAGAAAGGCUUUGGAAUCAGAUAAAUUUGUGUGGAGAUCCAGACUCUUUCCCUGAGGAACUGUGAUCAUUUAACCUCUCUGUCGUUUCAUUUUUCUCAUGUGGAAAGUGGGAAUCGUAAUAUACAGCUUACAGAGUUCUUGGGAACAUCAAAUGAAGUCCUGUGUACAAAGUGCCUCGUCCCUUAUACCAUCAAGUAAGUCAGAGCUUCGUCUCAUGUGUUCCCUGCUUUAUCUGUGGCACCUAGGAGAGUUCUUAGCACAGAGUCGGUGCUCAGUUAAUGCUUAUUAAAUGAAUUAAUGAAUAUUCAGUACACAAUAAACAUUAGUUCUUAUCUAUUUUUUCAAUACUUUUUGCAGGGCAGGGUGUAUGCAUGUAUAAACUGGGAGGAACUUUGAUAAAUGUUUUCUUGGAGGUUCUUGGUCUCCCAAUGGCACAUAAAGGUCUAUUUAUUACGGCAGUUAACCCACUUGUCUAUGAACUUCAAUGCUAUUCCCUACUGAUGAAAGCAGUAGCAGAGUAAAAAUAAUAAUAAUCUUAUAAAAUAAAUGAGGGAACUAGAAAAGGGCAUUUGGGAAAUAUUUAUCAAUUUUUAACCUUUUGUACCUGUCCAGCAUGUUGAGAAAUACACCAUAAAACUCAAAGAUAAAGUACAGACAUCAAUAAUAAAGGUAUGAAGAAGGAAAGAAGGAAGGAAGGAGGAAGUGUAGAAAGGAGG